CUUAAAUUGUGUUCUGAAGACAAACAAAGCUUUUACAGUUUUGGAACGACAUGGGGGUAAGUGAUUAGUGACAAUAUAUUCACUUUUGGGUAGAGUAUCCCUUUAACACAUUGGUCUGUCAAAUUCUGGAUGGCCACAGUGCUGCAUAGUAAAGCUCCAACACUAAUCAAAUACACCUGCUCCAUCUAAUAAAGCUCUUCAGGAUACUAGAAACUUUCAAGCAGGUGUGAAUUAGAGUUAUACUAUUGCUGUGUCCCAAACUGAAGUGCGUGGACUCCGAAGUGAGAAUGUGAAGUGCGAUUGUCACAGUGCCAUGACGCAAGCUGUCCCAAAGUCAGAUGGCACACUCUGAAGACCGCAUUCCAAGGCUGAUUGCGUCACCGCGGCGUGAAGUAGGCUGAUGAAUUGCAAAAGCAACUUAAAUGCACCCUUCAUUUCCUAGGAAGAUGGAAGUGUACAUCUGAUGACAACGGUUGUUACAUUCAAAGAGCACGGAAGUACAAUUCUGGAGAAAAUUAGUCUGCUGGGGAAGGACUUAUAGAAAGAUUGCAAGUGUCCUGGGACAGGUGAGGGCAUGAGUGGAAGCUGGUGGAGUUGCUUAGAGAGGACAUUGAACUCCAGAGAGAGAGUUGAGCAUGGAGAGAUUGGAGGGACUGUUUCCUCUUCUUGAGAAAAUGCUUCACAAAUAAAUACUUUAUUAGCCAAGAGAAAACAGUGGAAAAAUCCGCCGAGAAGCAGCCUCACCUCGGCUAGACCUUCUGAUAUGUGCCGCUGGCUCUGAUUUCUCUUUAGUGGUUAAACAUAAAAUAUAAUCAGU
Long non-coding RNA from Carassius auratus (goldfish), 817 nucleotides. RefSeq lists it as uncharacterized. The transcript is spliced from 3 exons. The record is from RefSeq and is a predicted model, not a curated record. NCBI's taxonomy places the organism in Eukaryota, Metazoa, Chordata, Actinopteri, Cypriniformes, Cyprinidae.